CACGAAACGUUUGUUCGCCACCACAGGCCACAGCAACCUAACUAAGUACAUUAUAUUUAUUGUAUAUUUGUGAUUUGUGAUAAAAGCAAUAAAUACUUGCGUAUCAAUUAUAAAAAUACAAAAAAUAUAAUACAUUUAGUUAGGUUGCUGUGGACUGUGGUGGCGAACAAACGUUUCGUG
Non-coding RNA from Paramuricea clavata, 180 nucleotides. The record is from the annotation of a GenBank genome assembly. Lineage: Eukaryota; Metazoa; Cnidaria; Anthozoa; Malacalcyonacea; Plexauridae.